AUUGAACGCUGGCGGCAGGCUUAACACAUGAAAGUCGAGCGGGGUGAUGGUGCUUGCACUAUCACUUAGCGGCGGACGGGUGAGUAAUGCUUAGGAAUCUGCCUAUUAGUGGGGGACAACAUCUCGAAAGGGAUGCUAAUACCGCAUACGUCCUACGGGAGAAAGCAGGGGAUCACUUGUGACCUUGCGCUAAUAGAUGAGCCUAAGUCGGAUUAGCUAGUUGGUGGGUUAAAGGCCUACCAAAGCGACGAUCUGUAGCGGGUCUGAGAGGAUGAUCCGCCACACUGGGACUGAGACACGGCCCAGACUCCUACGGGAGGCAGCAGUGGGGAAUAUUGGACAAUGGGGGGAACCCUGAUCCAGCCAUGCCGCGUGUGUGAAGAAGGCCUUAUGGUUGUAAAGCACUUUAAGCGAGGAGGAGGCUCUUUUGGUUAAUACCCAAGAUGAGUGGACGUUACUCGCAGAAUAAGCACCGGCUAACUCUGUGCCAGCCGCCGCGGUAA
Molecule: ribosomal RNA, 503 nt
Filed under: uncultured bacterium
Lineage: Bacteria
Description: partial 16S ribosomal RNA
Rfam family: Bacterial small subunit ribosomal RNA
Source: RNAcentral